GACUCGUUGGUGAAGUGGUUAACACGUCGCCCUCUCAAGGCGAUAUUCAUGGGUUCAAGUCCCAUACGGGUCACCA
RNAcentral lists this transfer RNA (76 nucleotides) under Mollicutes bacterium. RNAcentral describes it as "tRNA-Glu". It matches the Rfam family "tRNA". From Rfam's summary of the family: Transfer RNA (tRNA) molecules are approximately 80 nucleotides in length. Their secondary structure includes four short double-helical elements and three loops (D, anti-codon, and T loops). RNAcentral also lists the same sequence under 1 other name. Lineage: Bacteria; Bacillati; Mycoplasmatota; Mollicutes. The record is from RNAcentral.